AGUGAACGCUGGCGGUAGGCCUAACACAUGCAAGUCGAACGGCAGCACAGUAAGAGCUUGCUCUUACGGGUGGCGAGUGGCGGACGGGUGAGGAAUACAUCGGAAUCUACUUUUUCGUGGGGGAUAACGUAGGGAAACUUACGCUAAUACCGCAUACGACCUACGGGUGAAAGCAGGGGAUCUUCGGACCUUGCGCGAUUGAAUGAGCCGAUGUCGGAUUAGCUAGUUGGCGGGGUAAAGGCCCACCAAGGCGACGAUCCGUAGCUGGUCUGAGAGGAUGAUCAGCCACACUGGAACUGAGACACGGUCCAGACUCCUACGGGAGGCAGCAGUGGGGAAUAUUGGACAAUGGGCGCAAGCCUGACCCAGCCAUACCGCGUGGGUGAAGAAGGCCUUCGGGUUGUAAAGCCCUUUUGUUGGGAAAGAAAAGCAGCAGGUUAAUACCCCGCUGUUCUGACGGUACCCAAAGAAUAAGCACUGGCUAACUUCGUG
This 492-nucleotide ribosomal RNA is filed under the name uncultured bacterium. Its description in RNAcentral is "partial 16S ribosomal RNA". It matches the Rfam family "Bacterial small subunit ribosomal RNA", at positions 29 to 507 of the family's 1533-position model. The record is from RNAcentral.